UGAGCAAUCUGCCCUUCUCUUCGGAAUAAGCGUUGGAAACGACGUCUAAUGCCGAAUACGACCUCCUUUCGCAUGAUCGGAGGUGGAAAGCUCCGGCGGAGAAGGAUGAGCUCGCGGCCUAUCAGCUAGUUGGUGUGGGUAACGCCACAAGGCGACGACGGGUAGCCGGCCUGAGAGGGUGACCGGCCACACUGGGACUGAGACACGGUCCAGACUCCGUACGGGAGCAGC
This 231-nucleotide ribosomal RNA is filed under the name uncultured bacterium. RNAcentral's name for it is "partial 16S ribosomal RNA". It matches the Rfam family "Bacterial small subunit ribosomal RNA", at positions 118 to 347 of the family's 1533-position model. The record is from RNAcentral.